Triticum dicoccoides is the source of this 5211-nucleotide long non-coding RNA. RefSeq lists it as uncharacterized. NCBI's taxonomy places the organism in Eukaryota, Viridiplantae, Streptophyta, Magnoliopsida, Poales, Poaceae. The transcript has 8 exons. The record is from RefSeq and is a predicted model, not a curated record.
CGUGGGUAAAACACCAGCGACCAAUCAAGAUUGAGGAGAACCCUUCCCUUCCCACCCAUUGAAAAGGGAAGGAGACGCCCCCACCUACCCCACAACGCACGGAUCACACUUAACACACAGCCCCCCAUCCCGCUCCCGACGAACCGCCGCCACCACCCACCGCUCACACCCACCUCACCGCCGGCCAUGGCCUCCCUCACCCUCUCCUCCUCCCCGACCGGGAGAAGAGAAGGCAAGAUAGGAGAAGAGGGAGGGAGAUCCACCACGACCGGUCAGGUCAGGCGGCACGCCCAGACCCGUCGUCGGCGAGCUCCUCUGCUCCGGGAGAUCAGGAGUGUGGGGGCGGCAACCUUAUCUUUCUCGGGACGCCGCCCUUCCUCUGCCCAAGCUGCUCCCAUUCCCAGUGAACGACCACGGCGCCGGACACAACCACGCACCGGCCCGGCAGCCAUGGAAGGUCAGGUGUCUUGGUCCGUCAGCUUCUUCUCCAUGGACAUGGAGGUCCCGCCAUGGAAGGCCUGGAGCCUGAUGCGGUUUGGCAGCUCCCCUGCCUCCCUCCCUGAUGCGCGCAGGCAGUUGCACCACCUACAAGACGGUCUGCUUCUUCUCCAUGGAGGUGUCGCCGCUGCUCCGACCCUAGUGCCGGCCGACGCCAUGGAAGGUUUCGAUUGGAGCCGCUCCCCUCCCUGAUGUGCGCGCGUGCAGGUGUUCCGUGUGCUUCCUUCUUUCCCUCCUGGGACGCCGCUCUCCUGCUGCUCUGACGCCAUGGAUGGACACAUGUACCAACACCUGGGACAAGAUCAAGAUGCGGGUGCAUAAGAAGGUGAUCGACCUCACCAGCUCCUCGGAUGACAUCAAGCAGAUCACCUGGAUCGCCAUGGAUAGGUCAAGGUGACCUUAAAGGGUGCCUAGGACAAGCAACUGCUGGCGGAGGGCCCUGUGAGGAUGCCCACCAAGGUGCUCAACAUGACCACCUAGGAAGUCCGUUUUUGGCAAAGCUGUGUCAUAACCUCCCGGUCCAGCUACUAUGGCUCAAUGGACCACCUCCUCCUCGGCCAGUACCGAUGCAAAGGAGAUAAGGGGUUCAUCGUGCCAAGCAAGGUUCAUGGUGGUAGGCUCGGUCUCCGGCCAUGGCGUCUUCCGUUGGUCCUGCUGCUGUGCGACAGAGGCGGUUUUGUUCGGCAUCAGCUACAAAACAGCUAUGGUGGUCGAGUUCAUGGCCGUCGAGCCACGGCUAUGGUGGUCGCGCUGCGUUCAUGGCCAUCGAGCCACGGCUAUGGUGGUCGCGCUGCGUUCAUGGCUAUCGAGCCACGGCUAUGGUGGCCGCGCUGCGUUCAUGGCCAUGUCUGGUCAGGGUUUGGUCUCCUUGCAUAAUGAUGAAGCAGCUGCUAAUCGGGAACCAGCCAUUGGUGUACCGCAAUAAGGUCACCGCCGCCUGCAUGGGCAGAGUUGCCGCCAAGCUUGAGUCAAUGGAGCCCUGCUCCAGCCUCAAGGAUAGGUGAGGAGAAGGGGUUCAUCGAGCCAGGCAAGGUGCACGGUGGUAGGCAGGCUUGGUCUCCAGCCUCACCGUCUUCUGUUGGCCCCUUUUUGCCAUGUGGCAACGGCGGUGCUGUUAGGAAUCGGCUAAAAACUGGCAUGGGGCUUGCGAACCAAAGUAUCAACUUGGAGCUCCUCUCUGCCCAAAUAUAUGACAUACGUAAAGAUCCCAAACCAGCAAGGUCUUGCGCAUGCGGUGGCCGCCUUUUGAAUAUCUUCAGCUUGGUCUCAUCGUCUUCGUCCAGCUCUCCAAUGUCAACGAUGGCUACAAACAUUAAAGGUGAGACCUCCUGCCUUCUCUUCCCCCCCUUGCUCUGGGCACGUGAUCAUCGAGCCACAACUGUUUAGGUUUUUGGUAAAUGAUGCCUUGAUGGCCAUGUCUGACAGUUGACAGAAAGUUGCACUGUGAUGUGCUUGAAUUGCAGACUCUCAGUUUGAUUUUCGCCAUUUCACUUUUUAUAUUCUAUAGGUAAAGAGUAGUAUUGGGGGUUUGAACCCAGAAUCUGCAUGUCAUGAUUUGAGUCAGGAUAAGAAGUCAAAAUCUCAUGAAGGUAGUACAAGGGGGAAUCACUUUCUAGACAUAGGUGUGGCCAAGUCCCAUUUUGAAAUCGUAGUUUUUUGAAUUGUUUGUUCGAUAGCACCGUUCAGGCGCACAUUUCUCCUUAAAUUGCUCACCCAACUGGUGGUGCAAACGACUCAUCACAAUUACCUUGAGUCACACAAUCCAUUUUUAAUGGAGUAAGCCUAUGUGAUCCUCUUGUCCUUCUCAGAGCACACGAUGAGAAGGCAAACAUUUAGGUCAAGCCAUCUCAGUUUGCUGCAUUCAAAUUCCAGACCAAUUAAUCUCCACUUUUAGUUUAAGCCCUGAGAUGAUGGCAAACCAACUCAGAUUGUGGCAGUUGGUUGUAGAAAUGUUCACUCACCCUUCCAGAUUAUUACUUGAGGUUACAUAUGCUAUACAUAUAAACUAUGCUAGUGUUUGAUAGCGAUCUGUUGGGCAUAGUAUUGUUUUUGCUGGGGUCUAUCUAUUUAGAGUUUAGUCAUAGAUUUGCCUAGUAUUAUUUUUGCUUGUAAAGUACAACCUCUGUGAACAAAUAUAAGACGUUUUAUGGACUUGUGUCGAGUCUCUAAAACGUCUUAUAUUUAUUUACGGAGGGAAUAGUUAUCUUGUAGGCACAUAGAUAGAUAAAGGGAUCAUGGAGGCAUAUAUUAGCGAGCUUGGGCUGGUUCUAGGUGUUGAGAAUGAAAAGUCGUGGCCAUUUUCUAGUUCAUGACGAAGCAGAAUUUUGUUUUAGAUCAUGUAUGUUUGACUAAUUGCCAAGUUUUCGUCAUUUUUCUCAGCCUGUGAAAAUUCCGGCCCUUGUGAAACAAGGAAAUUUGUUUCUUUUUUUGUUGCACACUUGUAGCUAAAGAUUGACUAGGACAUUGCUGUCUUUUUAUUGCCGCUUGAUCGGAACCCUUCAGUCUCGUUGAUAGCUAGCAUGCCCUGUGACUAAUGAUUACUCGAGGAACUCUUAUUUACUCUUGAUAAUUUACUAAGAAAACUCUGCAGUUUAACGGACUGAGUUGAUUGAUCUUACUUUUGAUGGGUUUUGUUGUUGGAAACAACGCAAACUAGGAGGGGGUCCUUAGAUGGCUGACUGAAAGUUAUAUGUUUUGUUGUGUGCAGAUUAUGGAACACACACAUUGCACUUUUUUAGCUUAGUCUCAGCCUACUGGACAUUGCUUCUAGUUUCUUGCUUUAAACUCAUAUGUGUUGGCAAUUCUUUUCUUUGUUUUUGCUGUGACGAAGAGCUUCUAGCUAUGAGAGGCAAAAGAAGAUGGUCGUCCGAAUCCUUGAGCUUUUAGCUUUGGUGGCGCGCGAAGAGAAAUGUUUGUUUUCGGACUCGAGGCAGACCAAGCAACUAGGCUUGUUUGUAAUGAAAUAAAAAACAUGAGGGCGCCGACUGCAAAAUUUUGUCCUUGUUUGUAACUGGCAGAGUGUGGAUGGGGAAUAACCUAAACAUGCAAACCCAGAUUAUGAAGGCUAGGAUGACAUUAUGAAGGAGAGUAAAGAUGGGAGUUCCAAGUAAGUAUACCAUUCCAGCGUGAGCUACCAGCUCCAAAUUCACAGCAGCCGACAAGCCUCCAAGAAGCACGCAGCGGCCGCUAUGGUCAUCGUCACCAGUACAUUCUGCACAGCUGCCACAGCACUGCCCCAGCUCACCUCCUUUGCAGCACGCCAUGGUCGCCGGGGGGCAGCAGAGCGUCCAAGAAAUCCUUGAGAUGUUGGGGCCUGUCCCACCCGUCCUUGGGGCUGAUGUGCAGGCGGCGGAUGGAUCUCCAGGCGUGGCGCCAGCGGCCGGCCAGCACGCUUGUCCGGACCGCGUCAUUCGCCGGCAGGAAGCCAAGGGCGUGCUGGAGGAGCGCUGAGCCGAUCCUCGCUGCCGGGCAUGGAUGCUUUCCUGGCCUUGCAAAAAUAGCUGGACAACCCGUCGAACAGGUAGUGAGCACCACCGCGCUGGAUCGAUGCUGUGGUGACAAGAAAACAAUGACGAAAUGAAGCAAAGAAGCGGGGGAAAAAACACGGUGGAAGACGAGCUUACCUCACCGAGGCUUAGCUUCACUCGCCGCUGCGCAGGGCCAGGGAUGCGGCGCAAAUGCAAGGAAUCGUCCAACCCCAACGGAGAAGACAAAGCGCGUGAGAGCUCUCUAUUUCAGCUCAGCUCAAGGACGAGAUGGGGUACGAGAUGGAGUGGUGGAGAGCACAGAGCAGUUAUUACCACCAGGAAGAAGCUCACCUACUGUACUAGAGGGACUGAGAUCCAGUGACUCGUCUUCAGCAAGUCACGUUGUAACUGGCCGCCAAUCAUCCGCCGUUGAAACCACAUCCAAAGAACCGCAGUGAAGGAAAGCAAAAAAGGCUCACACUUAUGUCCAGGCACCCAUCCAGCACAGAUUUGUGGCGGGGAAAAGGAGGACAAGGAUGGCUUUGGCGCGAAGAGCCAGCUCGGAGCAGCCGAGCACCGUCGCCGCGGAGGGUAGGCAGCGCCGCGCGGCCGUGAGGGCAAGGGAGGAGUGCCCCGACGGGCCGGGAAGCUGCUGCUGCAAGCGCCGCGCGAGCCGGGGAGGAGGUCCGCCGCAGAUCGAGCAGGAGCGCCGCCCGCGCGGGCCAGGGAGGAGCGCCGCCGUAGAUCAGCUACGCCGGCCGACCUCCUUGCUCACGUCACUCGGACCCGCCCGCCCCUCCCCGACGCCGGCCCUCUAGCUACCAGAAUUUGGGUUGUGCAAUGACAGAAAUCAGCAAAAGGAUACCUCAAGUUGGUAUGAGAUUCAGAGAUUCACAUGAGGCCUGGGUGUUUUGGGUAGAAUAUGGGGGUCACAUAGGUUUUGAUGUGAGGAAAAGAUGCAUCAACUUAAGCAAAUUUGAUGGAAAGGCGACUUCAUGCAGAUUUGUUUGUUCCCAUGAAGGCAUUAGAAGGAAGGGACAAACCGACCGUGAGCCAAAACAUUUUAGAGCUGAAACAAGAACUAAUUGUAGAGUUCAGAUGGUUAUUAGAUUGGAUCGAGCUGCAGAAAAUUAUGAAGUUACUGAUGUUGAACUGGAACACAACCACUAUCUUCAAUUGCCACAAACACGCCACUUGUUGACUGCAUGUUGUAGAGUAUUGGAUGGAAAUAACAAAUUUGCUAUUA